UGAGGAAUAUUGGGCAAUGCCCGCAAGGGUGACCCAGCAACGCCGCGUGGAGGAUGAAUGUCGUAAGAUUGUAAACUCCUGUUAGAGGGGAAGAAUAGUACCGGUUGGACCGGUAUAUGACUGUACCCUCAGAGAAAGCCCCGGCUAACUACGUGCCAGCAGCCGCGGUAAUACGUAGGGGGCAAGCGUUGUCCGGAUUUCCUGGGUGUAAAGGGCGCGCAGGCGGGAUAAAAAGUCAGUGGUGAAAUCCUACAGCUUAACUGUAGAACUGCCUUUGAUACUUUUAUUCUUGAGUUCGGGAGAGAGAGACGGAAUUCCAGGUGUAGUGGUGAAAUACGUAGAUAUCUGGAAGAACACCAGUUGCGAAGGCGGUCUCUUGGUCCGACACUGACGCUGAGGCGCGAAAGCGUGGGGAGCAAACA
This 422-nucleotide ribosomal RNA is filed under the name uncultured bacterium. RNAcentral's name for it is "bacterial SSU rRNA". It matches the Rfam family "Bacterial small subunit ribosomal RNA", at positions 355 to 774 of the family's 1533-position model. The record is from RNAcentral.